This 383-nucleotide ribosomal RNA is filed under the name uncultured bacterium. RNAcentral's name for it is "bacterial SSU rRNA". It matches the Rfam family "Bacterial small subunit ribosomal RNA", at positions 82 to 458 of the family's 1533-position model. The record is from RNAcentral.
GGGGAGAAUUAAAGCGGAUUAGUGGCGAACGGGUGAGUAACGCGUGAGUAACCUGCCUUACACAAGGGGAUAGCCUUUGGAAACGAAGAAUAAUACCCUAUAAAACCAUAAAAGCACAUGCAAUUAUGGUCAAAGUAUUAGCGGUGUAAGAUGGACUUGCGUCUGAUUAGCUAGUUGGUGAGAUAAAAGCCCACCAAGGCAACGAUCAGUAGCCGGCUUGAGAGAGUGUACGGCCACAUUGGGACUGAGACACGGCCCAGACUCCUACGGGAGGCAGCAGUGGGGAAUUUUGCACAAUGGGGAAAACCCUGAUGCAGCGACGCCGCGUGAUUUAGAAGGCCUUCGGGUUGUAAAAAUCUUUUGUAUAGGAAGAAAAUGACAGU